This 429-nucleotide ribosomal RNA is filed under the name Verrucomicrobiota bacterium. RNAcentral's name for it is "Verrucomicrobia bacterium partial 16S ribosomal RNA". It matches the Rfam family "Bacterial small subunit ribosomal RNA", at positions 355 to 776 of the family's 1533-position model. Lineage: Bacteria; Pseudomonadati; Verrucomicrobiota. The record is from RNAcentral.
UAGGGAAUCUUCCGCAAUGGACGCAAGUCUGACGGAGCAACGCCGCGUGAGUGAAGAAGGUUUUCGGAUCGUAAAACUCUGUUGUAAGAGAAGAACAAAUUGUAGAGUAACUGCUACAGUCUUGACGGUAUCUUACCAGAAAGCCACGGCUAACUACGUGCCAGCAGCCGCGGUAAUACGUAGGUGGCAAGCGUUGUCCGGAUUUAUUGGGCGUAAAGGGGGCGCAGGCUGCUUCUUAAGUCUGAUGUGAAAGCCCACGGCUUAACCGUGGAAGUGCAUUGGAAACUGGGAAGCUUGAGUACAUAAGAGGAAAGAGGAACUCCGUGUGUAGCGGUGGAAUGCGUAGAUAUAUGGAAGAACACCAGUGGCGAAAGCUACUUUCUUGUCUGUCACUGACGCUGAGGCACGAAAGCGUGGGUAGCAAACAGG